This 450-nucleotide ribosomal RNA is filed under the name uncultured bacterium. Its description in RNAcentral is "bacterial SSU rRNA". It matches the Rfam family "Bacterial small subunit ribosomal RNA", at positions 328 to 792 of the family's 1533-position model. The record is from RNAcentral.
UUCCCAGACUCCUACGGGAGGCAGCAGUCGGGAAUAUUGCGCAAUGGAGGAAACUCUGACGCAGUGACGCCGCGUGCAGGAAGAAGGUUUUCGGAUUGUAAACUGCUUUAGACAGGGAAGAAAGAAAUGACGGUACCUGUAGAAUAAGCUCCGGCUAACUACGUGCCAGCAGCCGCGGUAAUACGUAGGGGGCAAGCGUUAUCCGGAUUUACUGGGUGUAAAGGGAGCGUAGACGGCAGUGCAAGUCUGAAGUGAAAGCCCCGGGCUUAACCCGGGAAUUGCUUUGGAAACUGUACGGCUGGAGUGCUGGAGAGGUAAGCGGAAUUCCUAGUGUAGCGGUGAAAUGCGUAGAUAUUAGGAGGAACACCAGUGGCGAAGGCGGCUUACUGGACAGUAACUGACGUUGAGGCUCGAAAGCGUGGGGAGCAAACAGGAUUAGAUACCCGCGUA